CUUACAAUUGCGAUGGGGGGACGGAGAAGGCUAGGUGGGCCUGGCGACGGUUGUCCAGGUUCAAGUGCGUAGGCUUAAGAGUUAGGUAAAUCCGGCUCUUUUUAAGGCUGAGACACGACGUCGAGCACCUACGGGUGUGAAGCCAUUGAUGCCAUGCUUCCAGGAAAAGCCUCUAAGCUUCAGAUUGUAAGGAAUCGUACCCCAAACCGACACAGGUGGUCGGGUAGAGAAUACCAAGGCGCUUGAGAGAACUCGGGUGAAG
This 262-nucleotide ribosomal RNA is filed under the name Vibrio parahaemolyticus. Its description in RNAcentral is "partial 23S ribosomal RNA". It matches the Rfam family "Bacterial large subunit ribosomal RNA", at positions 1447 to 1709 of the family's 2925-position model. Lineage: Bacteria; Pseudomonadati; Pseudomonadota; Gammaproteobacteria; Vibrionales; Vibrionaceae. The record is from RNAcentral.